AGAUUGAACGCUGGCGGCAUGCCUUACACAUGCAAGUCGAACGGCAGCACGGGAGCAAUCCUGGCGGCGAGUGGCGAACGGGUGAGUAAUAUAUCGGAACGUGCCCAGUCGUGGGGGAUAACGCAGCGAAAGCUGUGCUAAUACCGCAUACGAUCUAUGGAUGAAAGCGGGGGAUCGCAAGACCUCGCGCGAUUGGAGCGGCCGAUAUCAGAUUAGCUAGUUGGUGGGGUAAAAGCCUACCAAGGCGACGAUCUGUAGCUGGUCUGAGAGGACGACCAGCCACACUGAACUGGGACACGGUCCAGACUCCUACGGGAGGCAGCGAGUGGGGAAUUUUGGACAAUGGGCGCAAG
RNAcentral lists this ribosomal RNA (353 nucleotides) under uncultured soil bacterium. Its description in RNAcentral is "bacterial SSU rRNA". It matches the Rfam family "Bacterial small subunit ribosomal RNA", at positions 26 to 381 of the family's 1533-position model. The record is from RNAcentral.